This 2227-nucleotide long non-coding RNA is filed under the name Homo sapiens (human). Its description in RNAcentral is "HSALNT0095922". The record is from RNAcentral. Lineage: Eukaryota; Metazoa; Chordata; Mammalia; Primates; Hominidae.
AGGGUUUCACCAUGUUGGCCAGGAUGGUCUCAAUCUCUCGACCUUGUGAUCCGCCCACCUCGGCCUCCCAAAGUGCUGGGAUUACAGGCGUGAGCACUGCGCCUGGCCUAUAGUUUUAUCUUUAGGCCUAUGAACUCUUUUGAGUUCAUUUCUAUACAUAUAGUAUACUAUUCUAUAAUAUUUGAGAUCCAUUUUUUCCCAUGUCAUCAUAUUUUUGUUUUCUGGCACUAUUUGCUAAUAUCUCCAUUUUAAGGUGAAAGAAUAAAAGAAAAAAAAUAGUGUAAUUUUAAUGUUCUUAGAUAAAGAGGAUAUGGUAUUAAUUGCAUAAGGAAGUAAGAAAAGAAAAAUGAGGAACAGAAAGAGGUAGAGAAGGAUAGCAGGAGAAAGGAAAGAAAAAGAAAAAUUAAAAAAAAAUGGGAAAAGCAAGGAAGAAAAGAAAAAAUCCAAGCAUUUCUCUGAAUCAAUAGCCACAUUUUUAUGCUUUCUAUUCUAAUAGUUUUUAAAGUCAAGCUCUGUUUCCACGACUACAGAUACAAAGAAGUUACUACCUAUUGGUUCAAGAAAAAUCUCCAAAUAGGUAAUAUCUCAAUCCAAAACAGAUCAAGACAAAACUAUAAACUAUUUAGUUGAAAAAGGCUCUCAAUAUUUUGUGCUGAAUUUUACAGAUGCCAUAGGAUUAAAGAUAGUCUGUAGCUGCAAACAGUCCAUUCAAAAGCAAGUGUCUAUGUAGCAAGGAUAUACACCUUGUAGGGGAGGAAAAGAUUGUUUUCUUUACCGGUUGCAAGGUUCUUGGCUGUGGCACCUGUAACAAAAGAUAGACUAACAGAAAAAAGCAUACGAGUUUAUUUAAUGUAAGUUUUUGUGACAAAGGAACUUUCAUAAAGAAAUGAAAACCCAAAGAAACAGGUAAACUUGUGCUUUUUAAUCUUAGGUUUGAGGAAAAUGUGGUCAGUCAGUGAGAAGUAUAAUUGGAUAAUGAAGGUCUGAUUUAAUGGCAAUAUGAUGGGGGGAAUUUAGCAAGGCCUGUUUAUUCAGAUUCUUAUCUGUGUCUAUGACUUCAGAUAUAAGAAUGUUUGCUUUCCCUGGGUAUGUAGAGGGCAUCUCUCCAAUGAGGGUUUAAUGACCUUCUUCAGGGGAGAAGAGAGAGAAGAAGGUAAGAGAGACCUUCCUUUUUCUGUGGUUUUCUCAAAUGCCAAUGUGCCAUAUUUUCUGGUAGCACGUCCUGAAUUCCACCUGCCUCAAAUCUAUACUUCAAUUUGCCAAGGAUAAUCUGGUCAUAGAGUUACUCCUUAGACAUUUUCAGAAGAGAAGAUCAACUGGAAACUUUUUUUGGAUACUUGCAUGUAAAAUAAAGAAUGUUAAUUAUUAUAAUGUCAUCAUUGGGUACCAACAUAAUAUUUUCCCCAGUUCAUUUCCUUAAAUUGAAUGUGGCUCAAGAAAUCUAGUACUCUCCUUUCAACACCUCUCACUUUCAGUAGUCUGUGAUGAAUAACUCACUUGUCUUUGCCUCAGCUGUUGAUAGAGAAAAGAGAAGAGAGAAAAAAGACAAGAGGGUAGUAUAUAGAAAAAGAGAUUAUGGUAGUUGGUAGAAUAACUUGACUUAACCUCCAUAACUGUUGGUAGAUGUUGAUUAGAGAAUGGAACUUCAAAUUGAACCCAUUUAUUUGUUUCUUAUAAUGGCAUGAGACUUGUAAUACCAAUAAACCUACGAAUGUUUUCAAUGUUCUAAUUUGUUUUUUAUUGAACAUUUGAUGUAGACAGUAAUAAAUUAGGCACUGUUUUUACAUUGUCUGUCUUCCCUCAUCCUUCCACUUCUGGAACUUAGAAAAUAGUCCCCUCUCUUCUCAUAUCUCUCUUCUCACUAUGCCAGAACAUGUAAGUAGGUGAAGUAGGUUUGUCGUCAGUAAUGAUUGGGUACCCACUGUCCUCAUACUACUAACUAACUUUUCCCUGUCUCUCCAUUGAACUCUCAUCAUCCAGGCCAUUCAUUCUGCAUUCUCUUUCUGUGUGUGUGUGGGUGUGUAUGUGUGUGUGUGUAUGUAUGUGUGUGUGUGUGCCCCUGCCUGCCUCUGUGUCUGUCUCUCUCUCUCUCUUUCUCUCUGUUAAUGACUCAACCAUUCACCUAGUCACCCAAACUAUAACCUGAAAUUUACACUUAGCUCCUUGCUUCUAAUCUCCCUCUUGCUCUCUAUCACAAGAUCAUUUAUAUUUACUUCCUUAAAAAUAC